RNAcentral lists this ribosomal RNA (301 nucleotides) under uncultured bacterium. RNAcentral describes it as "partial 16S ribosomal RNA". It matches the Rfam family "Bacterial small subunit ribosomal RNA", at positions 509 to 807 of the family's 1533-position model. The record is from RNAcentral.
CAGCAGCCGCGGUAAUACGUAGGUGGCAAGCGUUGUCCGGAAUGAUUGGGCGUAAAGGGCGCGCAGGCGGCUGUGUAAGUCUGUCUAGAAAGUGCGGGGCUAAACCCCGUGAGAGGAUGGAAACUGGACAGCUGAGAGUGUCGGAGAGGAAAGCGGAAUUCCUAGUGUAGCGGUGAAAUGCGUAGAUAUUAGGAGGAACACCGGUGGCGAAAGCGGCUUUCUGGACGACAACUGACGCUGAGGCGCGAAAGCCAGGGGAGCAAACGGGAUUAGAUACCCGAGUAGUCCCUGUCUCUUAUAC